RNAcentral lists this ribosomal RNA (451 nucleotides) under uncultured bacterium. RNAcentral describes it as "bacterial SSU rRNA". It matches the Rfam family "Bacterial small subunit ribosomal RNA", at positions 29 to 524 of the family's 1533-position model. The record is from RNAcentral.
AGCGAACGCUGGCGGCAGGCUUAACACAUGCAAGUCGAACGGGCGUAGCAAUACGUCAGUGGCAGACGGGUGAGUAACGCGUGGGAACGUACCUUUUGGUUCGGAACAACCCAGGGAAACUUGGGCUAAUACCGGAUAAGCCCUUACGGGGAAAGAUUUAUCGCCGAAAGAUCGGCCCGCGUCUGAUUAGCUAGUUGGUGUGGUAACGGCGCACCAAGGCGACGAUCAGUAGCUGGUCUGAGAGGAUGAUCAGCCACAUUGGGACUGAGACACGGCCCAAACUCCUACGGGAGGCAGCAGUGGGGAAUAUUGGACAAUGGGCGCAAGCCUGAUCCAGCCAUGCCGCGUGAGUGAUGAAGGCCCUAGGGUUGUAAAGCUCUUUUGUGCGGGAAGAUAAUGACGGUACCGCAAGAAUAAGCCCCGCUAACUUCGUGCCAGCAGCCGCAGUAAG